AGAGUUUGAUCCUGGCUCAGGAUGAACGCUAGCUACAGGCUUAACACAUGCAAGUCGAGGGGCAGCAUUUUAGUUUGCUUGCAAACUAAAGAUGGCGACCGGCGCACGGGUGAGUAACACGUAUCCAACCUGCCGAUAACUCGGGGAUAGCCUUUCGAAAGAAAGAUUAAUAUCCGAUAGUAUAUUAAAACCGCAUGGUUUUACUAUUAAAGAAUUUCGGUUAUCGAUGGGGAUGCGUUCCAUUAGUUUGUUGGCGGGGUAACGGCCCACCAAGACUACGAUGGAUAGGGGUUCUGAGAGGAAGGUCCCCCACAUUGGAACUGAGACACGGUCCAAACUCCUACGGGAGGCAGCAGUGAGGAAUAUUGGUCAAUGGACGAGAGUCUGAACCAGCCAAGUAGCGUGAAGGAUGACUGCCCUAUGGGUUGUAAACUUCUUUUAUAUGGGAAUAAAGUAUUCCACGUGUGGGAUUUUGUAUGUACCAUAUGAAUAAGGAUCGGCUAACUCCGUGCCAGCAGCCGCGGUAAUACGGAGGAUCCGAGCGUUAUCCGGAUUUAUUGGGUUUAAAGGGAGCGUAGGUGGAUUGUUAAGUCAGUUGUGAAAGUUUGCGGCUCAACCGUAAAAUUGCAGUUGAAACUGGCAGUCUUGAGUACAGUAGAGGUGGGCGGAAUUCGUGGUGUAGCGGUGAAAUGCUUAGAUAUCACGAAGAACUCCGAUUGCGAAGGCAGCUCACUAGACUGCAACUGACACUGAUGCUCGAAAGUGUGGGUAUCAAACAGGAUUAGAUACCCUGGUAGUCCACACAGUAAACGAUGAAUACUCGCUGUUUGCGAUAUACAGUAAGCGGCCAAGCGAAAGCAUUAAGUAUUCCACCUGGGGAGUACGCCGGCAACGGUGAAACUCAAAGGAAUUGACGGGGGCCCGCACAAGCGGAGGAACAUGUGGUUUAAUUCGAUGAUACGCGAGGAACCUUACCCGGGCUUAAAUUGCAUUUGAAUAAUCUGGAAACAGGUUAGCCGCAAGGCAAAUGUGAAGGUGCUGCAUGGUUGUCGUCAGCUCGUGCCGUGAGGUGUCGGCUUAAGUGCCAUAACGAGCGCAACCCUUAUCUUUAGUUACUAACAGGUUAUGCUGAGGACUCUAGAGAGACUGCCGUCGUAAGAUGUGAGGAAGGUGGGGAUGACGUCAAAUCAGCACGGCCCUUACGUCCGGGGCUACACACGUGUUACAAUGGGGGGUACAGAAGGCAGCUACCUGGUGACAGGAUGCUAAUCCCAAAAACCUCUCUCAGUUCGGAUCGAAGUCUGCAACCCGACUUCGUGAAGCUGGAUUCGCUAGUAAUCGCGCAUCAGCCAUGGCGCGGUGAAUACGUUCCCGGGCCUUGUACACACCGCCCGUCAAGCCAUGAAAGCCGGGGGUACCUGAAGUACGUAACCGCAAGGAGCGUCCUAGGGUAAAACUGGUAAUUGGGGCUAAGUCGUAACAAGGUAGCCGUACCGGAAGGUGCGGCUG
This 1509-nucleotide ribosomal RNA is filed under the name human gut metagenome. RNAcentral's name for it is "bacterial SSU rRNA". It matches the Rfam family "Bacterial small subunit ribosomal RNA". The record is from RNAcentral.